GUGAUAGCAACCAGCAGCCCAUGGUUAGUUGCAUACGAAAAGCUAGGAUUUAGUGUUAGUGGAUUCCAUGGUGGGCUGCAGCCUACAGGAAGUUAGAUGUGUUGGCUACUGUAAGCGUUACUUGUGCCAUCACACUGUUUGUACCACCAGUACAAUUGACAUGGUGGUUGCAGAAUCAAGGGCCAUAAGGGAGCCUCGUGUUGUUCAGAAAGACAACCAAGGUUGGCAUCUUUUUAAUUCUUAUCGUUGGUGCAAGUAAGGUCAGAAGGAUGCUAAGGGAAAUACAAAUCCAAGGCAAGCAUGUGGAAAGCGCGUCAUAUGAUGUGAAAUCUGUUAUCAUGAAAAAGAGGGAAGGGCACAACCAUGAAGUUCGAGCAGCUAGAAAUAGCGGGCAUGUGAGCGAUGGUUCUGGGAGUGCUCUCAGAGGCCAACUGGAGUCAUUCAACUUCCUCUUCAGGAUUGACAGAGCCAGGACUACGAUCUGCCUUCCCCCACCUGCAAAUGCAGCAUGGUCAGCUAACCAAUUGAUGAUUUGCGAUAUUACGAGUUAGGCCCAGUUUAUCACUUUCUUCCAGUUUGUUGCCAACAAUCUGGCAGUGUCAUAAGGGAGUACACUGUUUGUUGCCAACGAUCUGGCAGUGCCAUAAGGGAGUACAUGUGUUUCAUCUGAAAAUAUAACACCGGGUUGAUUUGUAUUCUCCUUUUGAUGUGUUGACUAACACAUUCAAUCCGUAAGCGUCACUCAUGAGUGUGUCCAAGGGGUUGGAAGAGGAAGAGGAGGACGUAGGUGGGGCGGAAGGAG
Molecule: long non-coding RNA, 802 nt
Organism: Lolium rigidum
Lineage: Eukaryota; Viridiplantae; Streptophyta; Magnoliopsida; Poales; Poaceae
Exons: 5
Source: RefSeq, a predicted model, not a curated record